UUUGGUCUCUAGAAUCUUCUUAAGCAAAUGAUGCUAACAGUAACAUUGGUUUUCUUUCUUUAGGAUUUGAACACCGUUCCCACCUGCCCCAAACUGGCAACAUCUCUCAGGAGACCUUGCUUUCUCCUGGACCUCCAACAUCAUGGUUUCCCAUUUCAUGGGUUCUCUCAGUGUCCUGAGUUCCCUCCUGCUUACUGGAUUCCAGCUUGUCUACCCACAGCCCUCCACUGAACACCGAAAGGUAAGCCAUGGCUGUUCAGAAGCUUUCCUUGUUUCUCUUUGGAGGUGAGUCACAUGCCCUGGGAGGAAGCAUCAUCACAGAAUACUCACCAGUCCUUCCAUCUCACCAAAGCCCUUGGAGUUAAAAGAGUCUGCUUUGUACUGGUGUCAGUUUGAAUGGAGCAGUGGAGGAGAGGUCAAUGAAGAGACUGUACAAAUGUAUGGAGAGGGCUUAAGGAGAUUUCCAAAGAAUGGUGGCAUACCAGCAUGAAGCUUUUACCCCCUUUAGACCUGAAGGGGCAAGAGGGAGGGGUGAUUAGAGAGAAAGCUGUAGCUAUAGCUGUGGCUGGAACUAUGCGAGAG
RNAcentral lists this long non-coding RNA (582 nucleotides) under Dasypus novemcinctus (nine-banded armadillo). RNAcentral's name for it is "lncRNA (ENSDNOG00000050830.1)". The record is from RNAcentral. Lineage: Eukaryota; Metazoa; Chordata; Mammalia; Cingulata; Dasypodidae.